RNAcentral lists this ribosomal RNA (253 nucleotides) under uncultured bacterium. RNAcentral describes it as "partial 16S ribosomal RNA". It matches the Rfam family "Bacterial small subunit ribosomal RNA", at positions 524 to 776 of the family's 1533-position model. The record is from RNAcentral.
GACGAACCGUGCAAACGUUGUUCGGAAUCACUGGGCUUAAAGGGCGCGUAGGCGGUCGAGUAAGUCUGGGGUGAAAUCUUUCGGCUCAACCGGAAAAGUGCCUCGGAUACUGCUCGUCUGGAGGGAGGUAGGGGCAUGUGGAACUUCUGGUGGAGCGGUGAAAUGCGUUGAUAUCAGAAGGAACGCCGGUGGCGAAAGCGACGUGCUGGACCUCUUCUGACGCUGAUGCGCGAAAGCUAGGGGAGCAAACGGG